This 223-nucleotide ribosomal RNA is filed under the name uncultured bacterium. Its description in RNAcentral is "partial 16S ribosomal RNA". It matches the Rfam family "Bacterial small subunit ribosomal RNA", at positions 328 to 539 of the family's 1533-position model. The record is from RNAcentral.
ACGCUCGACACCUACUGGAGGCAGCAGUAGGGAAUCUUCCACAAUGGGCGCAAGCCUGAUGGAGCAACACCGCGUGAGUGAAGAAGGGUUUCGGCUCGUAAAGCUCUGUUGUUGGAGAAGAACGUGCGUGAGAGUAACUGUUCACGCAGUGACGGUAUCCAACCAGAAAGUCACGGCUAACUACGUGCCAGUAGCCGCGGUAAUCUGAGCGGGCUGGCAAGGC